CCGAGCCGCAGGGGAGGGCGGAGGCCGAGCUCGCCCCGGCUCCAGCCAGGGGUCUCCGGGAGGAUUCUUUUGGAGAGUGUUCGGAGCCGGCAGAUCCCGGACUCGAGCCCCGGCCCAGAAAUGAGUUCUGCACCUUUAAGGCUGGUUCUGAGAGUGAAGGGGAGGAGAAAGAAGCAGCAGUUUGUUUUCAUACACUGCAUUCCUCUACAUUCCAGCUGCUGGAUGGAGAGACAGCAGGUGUUUAAAUCUGCUCUGCACUGAACAGCCAGAACACCGGCACCUCGCACCUGUGGCCCACCUGGCUGAGCCUGGGCCACAGCAUUUCCAGUGCUGGAGGGACUGAAAAGAGACUGAUAAGAGACUGAUAAGACACUGAGUGCACGGAGCUACAACCCAAGGAGGGA
This is a long non-coding RNA of Melospiza melodia melodia, 404 nucleotides long. RefSeq lists it as uncharacterized. The transcript is spliced from 3 exons. The record is from RefSeq and is a predicted model, not a curated record. NCBI's taxonomy places the organism in Eukaryota, Metazoa, Chordata, Aves, Passeriformes, Passerellidae.